AGUGAACGCUGGCGGUAGGCCUAACACAUGCAAGUCGAACGGCAGCACAGUAAGAGCUUGCUCUUACGGGUGGCGAGUGGCGUACGGGUGAGGAAUACAUCGGAAUCUACUCUUUCGUGGGGGAUAACGUAGGGAAACUUACGCUAAUACCGCAUACGCCCUACGGGGGAAAGCAGGGGAUCUUCGGACCUUGCGCGAUUGAAUGAGCCGAUGUCGGAUUAGCUAGUUGGCGGGGUAAAGGCCCACCAAGGCGACGAUGCGUAGCUGGUCUGAGAGGAUGAUCGGCCACACUGGAACGGGGAAGGGGUCCAGGCUCCUACGGGAGGGAGCAGUGGGGAAUGUUGGGCAAUGGGGGCAAGCCUGGUCCAGCCAUACCGCGUGGGUGAAGAAGGCCUUCGGGUUGUAAAGCCCGUUUGUUGGGAAAGAAAAGCAGCAGGUUAAUACCCCGCUGUUCUGACGGUACCCAAAGAAUAAGCACCGGCUAACUUCGUG
Molecule: ribosomal RNA, 492 nt
Filed under: uncultured bacterium
Lineage: Bacteria
Description: partial 16S ribosomal RNA
Rfam family: Bacterial small subunit ribosomal RNA
Source: RNAcentral